AGGGAAGCUACUAAGGGUUCAUGGUGGAUGCCUUGGCGCCAAAUGCCGAUGAAGGACGUGGGACACUGCGAAAAGCCCCGGUAAGCCGUGAACAGGCGAUUGAACCGAGGAUAUCCGAAUGGGGAAACCCACCGUUGCGAACCAACGGUAUCGCAUAUUGAAUAUAUAGAUAUGCGAAGGGAACCUAGGGAACUGAAACAUCUAAGUACCUAGAGGAAAAGAGAUUAUUCCCUGAGUAGUGGCGAGCGAAAAGGGAAAAGCCCAAACCAGAUGAGCUUGCUUAUCUGGGGUUGUAGGACCUGUAACAUUGGAGUUACAAAAUAUUUUGCUAGAGAAAUGGUGUGGGAAAGCCAACCAAAGAAGGUAAUAGUCCUGUACUCGAAAGUGAAAUAACUCCAACAGGUAUCCUGAGUACUGCCGGGCACGCUAAUCCGGCAGGAAUCUGGGGAGUCCACUCUCCAAGGCUAAAUACAUUUGGUGACCGAUAGAGAACAAGUACCGUGAGGGAAAGGUGAAAAGUACCCCGAUAAGGGGAGUGAAAUAGAACCUGAAACCAUGGACCUACAAGCAGUCGAAGAGCUAAUGGCGGGUUGGUGCUCUGGUGAAAGCCAGGUGCGCACCGCUAUGCUUAACGGCGUGCCUUUUGGAGAAUGAGCCUGCGAGUUAAUUUUUGUGGCAAGGUUAAGAGAGAGACACUCGAAGCCGUAGCGAAAGCGAGUCUGAAUAGGGCGAAUGAGUCGCAAGGAUUAGACCCGAAACCGGGUGAGCUAACCAUGGUCAGGGUGAAGCGAGUCUAAACGCUCGUGGAGGCCCGAACCUACUAACGUUGCAAAGUUAGGGGAUGAACUGUGGUUAGAGGUUAUAUGCCAAACGAACCCGGAGAUAGCUGGUUCUCCCCGAAAUAGCUUUAGGGCUAGCGUUAUGUGUUCAGUAGCGGAGGUAGAGCACUGAAUGGGCUAGGGGGCUUAUAGCUUACCAAACCCAAUCAAACUCCGAAUGCCGUUACUCCAGAGCAUAACAGUCGGACCGUGGGAGAUGAGUUUCAUGGUCGAGAGGGAAAGAGCCCAGACCAUCGGCUAAGGUCCCCAAAUCUAGACUAAGUGGGAAACGAUGUGGAGUUGCUGAUACAACCAGGAGGUUGGCUUAGAAGCAGCCACCCUUUAAAGAGUGCGUAACAGCUCACUGGUCGAGUGAUUCUGCGCGGAAAAUGUAACGGGGCUAAGUCUAGUACCGAAGCCAUGGGUUUUAGUGUAAAAACUAGAGCGGUAGGGGAGCGUUCUGUCAGCGGUGAAGGAUGACUGUAAGGACAUCUGGAGCGGACAGAAGUGAGAAUGCAGGCAUGAGUAGCGUAAAACACGUGAGAACCGUGUUCACCGUAAGUCUAAGGUUUCCGACGCCAGGUCAAUCCGCGUCGGGUUAGUCAGGACCUAAGCUGAGGCCGAGAGGCGUAAGCGAUGGAUAUCCGGUCAACAUUCCGGAACCACUUGAAAGGAGCGAUGGGGGGACGCAACCGAGGUAGGCCAGCCUGUGAAUGGUAUACAGGUGCAUAUUACGUCAGACGAUGAGGACCGUAGGAAAAUCCGCGGACUGAGUUGAGGUAAUGUGGCGAGCCCUAGAGGCAGAAGUGAGCUGAGCCUUGUUGCCAAGAAAAGCCUCUAAGCGAUGAAUUUCAAGUGCCUGUACCGCAAACCGACACCGGUAGACGGGUAGAGUAUACCAAGGUGAACGGGAGAACCUUCGUUAAGGAACUAGGCAAAUUAACCUCGUAACUUCGGGAGAAGAGGUGCCUCCGGGUGUGAUGCAAAGAGCACCCAGAGGUCGCAGAGAACAGGCCCUGAUGACUGGUUACCAAAACCACAGGUCUCUGCAAAGCCGUAAGGCGACGUAUAGGGGCUGACACCUGCCCAGUGCCGGAAGGUUAAAGGGAGGGGUUAGGACUAGAUCCGAAGCUCUGAACUGAAGCCCCGGUGAACGGCGGCCGUAACUAUAACGGUCCUAAGGUAGCGAAAUUCCUUGUCGGGUAAGUUCC
Molecule: ribosomal RNA, 2029 nt
Filed under: Anaerolineaceae bacterium
Lineage: Bacteria; Bacillati; Chloroflexota; Anaerolineae; Anaerolineales; Anaerolineaceae
Description: partial 23S ribosomal RNA
Rfam family: Bacterial large subunit ribosomal RNA
Source: RNAcentral